AUACGGAGGGGGCGAGCGUUAUUCGGAAUCAUUGGGCGUAAAGGGCGCGUAGGCGGCCUGACAAGUCAGGGGUGAAAUCCCUCGGCUCAACCGAGGAACUGCCUCUGAAACUGUCAGGCUUGAGGCCGUGAGAGGGUAGUGGAAUUCCCAGUGUAGCGGUGAAAUGCGUAGAUAUUGGGAGGAACACCAGUGGCGAAGGCGGCUACCUGGACCGGUUCUGACGCUGAGGCGCGAAAGCGUGGGUAGCAAACAGAAUUAGAAACCCUAGUAGUCC
This 274-nucleotide ribosomal RNA is filed under the name uncultured bacterium. RNAcentral's name for it is "partial 16S ribosomal RNA". It matches the Rfam family "Bacterial small subunit ribosomal RNA", at positions 523 to 796 of the family's 1533-position model. The record is from RNAcentral.